Molecule: ribosomal RNA, 412 nt
Filed under: uncultured eukaryote
Lineage: Eukaryota
Description: bacterial SSU rRNA
Rfam family: Eukaryotic small subunit ribosomal RNA
Source: RNAcentral
CAAUAGCGUAUAUUAAAGUUGUUGCAGUUAAAAAGCUCGUAGUUGGAUUUCUGGCCGAGUGUCCCUAGGCCAGCAUGACGUUUGGUCCUAGGCGCUCUGCCAUCCUUCUGUCAACCUUCGCCUUCUUCAUUGGGGGCGCUGGGGCUCAGAUAUUUUACCUUGAGAAAAUUAGAGUGUUUCAGGCAGGCUUUCGCCGGAAUACAUUAGCAUGGAAUAAUGGAAAAGGACUUCAACCUCUUCUGUUGGUCUGAGAGGCUGUAGUAAUGAUUAAUAGGGAUAGUUGGGGGCAUUCAUAUUCCAUUGUCAGAGGUGAAAUUCUUGGAUUAACGGAAGAUGAACUACUGCGAAAGCAUCUGCCAAGGAUGUUUUCAUUGAUCAAGAACGAAAGUUAGGGGAUCGAAGAUGAUCAGAU